AAUGGAAGAAUGAAAAAUAAGAUUUUUUUUUCUCUUGAUUUUUAGCUUUUUUCUGCUGAAAAAAAUCAAAUCCAACUAAAAAUGCUAAAAGUUAAGAGAAAAAAUCUGAUUUGUCAUUCUUUUAUU
This 126-nucleotide microRNA precursor is filed under the name Gossypium arboreum. Its description in RNAcentral is "MIR7504 microRNA precursor family". It matches the Rfam family "MIR7504 microRNA precursor family". Lineage: Eukaryota; Viridiplantae; Streptophyta; Magnoliopsida; Malvales; Malvaceae. The record is from Rfam by way of RNAcentral.